GAGAUCGGCUUCGGCAAACUGGAGACGUACGUCAAACUGGACAAACUGGGGGAGGGCACGUACGCCACGGUGUACAAGGGCCGCUCCAAGCUGACAGAGAACCUGGUGGCUCUGAAAGAAAUUCGCUUGGAACAUGAAGAGGGAGCGCCUUGCACGGCCAUCCGCGAGGUGUCGCUGUUGAAGGACCUGAAACACGCCAACGUGGUGACGUUGCACGACAUCAUUCACACUCAGAGCUGCCUCACACUCGUCUUCGAGUACCUCGUGAGCACCAAAAGACCCCAAAAUAACCCAAAUUCACCCCAAAAAUCCCAUCAGGAA
Molecule: non-coding RNA, 321 nt
Organism: Coturnix japonica (Japanese quail)
Lineage: Eukaryota; Metazoa; Chordata; Aves; Galliformes; Phasianidae
Source: RefSeq, a predicted model, not a curated record